GAUGAACGCUGACAGAAUGCUUAACACAUGCCAGUCCACUUGAAUUUGGGUUUUUAACUUAGGUUUGGGUGGCGGACGGGUGAGUAACGCGUAAAGAACUUGCCUCACAGCUAGGGACAACAUUUGGAAACGAAUGCUAAUACCUAAUAUUAUGAUAAUAGGGCAUCCUAUAAUUAUGAAAGCUAUAAGCGCUGUGAGAGAGCUUUGCGUCCCAUUAGCUAGUUGGAGAGGUAACGGCUCACCAAGGCGAUGAUGGGUAGCCGGCCUGAGAGGGUGAUCGGCCACAAGGGGACUGAGACACGGCCCUUACUCCUACGGGAGGCAGCAAUGGGGAAUAUUGGACAAUGGACCGAGAGUCUGAUACAGCAAUUCUGUGUGCACGAUGAAGUUUUUCGGAAUGUAAAGUGCUUUCAGUUGGGAAGAAACAAAUGACGGUACCAACAGAAGAAGUGACGGCUAAAUACGUG
This 467-nucleotide ribosomal RNA is filed under the name uncultured bacterium. RNAcentral's name for it is "partial 16S ribosomal RNA". It matches the Rfam family "Bacterial small subunit ribosomal RNA", at positions 28 to 507 of the family's 1533-position model. The record is from RNAcentral.